This 153-nucleotide unclassified non-coding RNA is filed under the name uncultured Tubeufia. RNAcentral describes it as "sequence contains ITS2". The record is from RNAcentral. Lineage: Eukaryota; Fungi; Ascomycota; Dothideomycetes; Tubeufiales; Tubeufiaceae.
CAAACCUCAAGCUUCUGCUUGGUAUUGGGCGUCGUCCGUCUAGGACGUGCCAGAAACCCGUAGGCGGUGGUGCCCAUCUCCCAGCGUAGUCAAUUCUAUCCGCUUCGGAGCUUUAGGUGCUGCCCGCCAGACAACCUUAAAUCUAUCUAUGGU